AUGGCUCCAAGCUGGAGGCAAAAACACUGCUUUUUUCCAUGCUUGUGCUUCAAAAAGAAAGAAGAAAAACACAAUUGGGAGACUAAAAAGGAAGAUGGAGCGUGGGUAGAGGGUGAAGAUCGCUUAAAAGAGCAUGUUGCAAGCUAUUUUUCUAAUCUGUCCACCUCUACAGUUGGGCCAAGAACUGAUGAAAUAUUGCAGACAGUUUCACCGAGGGUAAAUGCACAAAUGAAUAAAAGCCUUUGUGCUCAAUACACAGAGGAGGAAGUUAAGGAGGCUUUGUUCAAUAUUGGAGAUCUCACAGCACCUGGGCCUGAUGGUAUGUCUGCGGUUUUCUUCAAAAGGUUCUGGCAUCUAGUGGGAAACACAGUCACAGAGGAGAUCUUGAAAUUCCUUCGAGGAGGCCAGAUGCCAGAAGGAUGGAAUGAUACCAUGAUCGUCUUAAUCCCAAAAACAGCAAAUCCACAAAGCAUGAAGGACCUAAGACCGACCAGCCUCUGCAACGUCAUCUACAAGACAAAAAGAAGUGGUAAAACAGGAUACGCGGCGAUAAAGCUAGACAUGAGUAAAGCCUACGAUCGAGUUGAAUGGAAUUCAAGCUGGGAUUUGAAAGAGAAUGGGUCAACCUAG
RNAcentral lists this ribosomal RNA (630 nucleotides) under Triticum aestivum (bread wheat). RNAcentral describes it as "partial small subunit ribosomal RNA". Lineage: Eukaryota; Viridiplantae; Streptophyta; Magnoliopsida; Poales; Poaceae. The record is from RNAcentral.